This is a long non-coding RNA of Labeo rohita (rohu), 1428 nucleotides long. RefSeq lists it as uncharacterized. The transcript is spliced from 2 exons. NCBI's taxonomy places the organism in Eukaryota, Metazoa, Chordata, Actinopteri, Cypriniformes, Cyprinidae. The record is from RefSeq and is a predicted model, not a curated record.
AUUCAUAUUAUUAUUACCACACCAAACAUAAUGUAAUUUAAUCGUCAGGUUUUGACCUUGAUGUCUUUGGGAGACCACAUUUUUACAGCAAUUUGUCAACUAUCAGACCGUACAGGUAACAGGAAGAAAGUUUGGUACUAGUUAGGCUUUAACUUUAUGGCAUUAUGUGCACAAGUUUGGAAAUGUGUGCGCGAUCAUGCAGAAUGUGCGAGACAGAGCGCAAAUCUGACGGAUCACGAUCGAUGUGACCUUAAAAGCUUUUAACCUGCUCUGUGCCGUUCAGUUACAGCUGUGAAGUUUUGCAUAGCAACAACCUCACCGCUCAAAGUAAGGGGGGAUCUAUAUCUGACCAACUUCUGUCAAAAACGAAAAUAUAUCUUUACUUGUCUUCAUUUAAUUUCUUGCCCUCACAUUAAAGACAAGUUAAAAGAAACAUUUCAAAAGACGUUUGUUUGCUACUCGCAAUACGUAACUUCGAAAUUAACUUUGGUUUGUUGUUUUUGAAGUUCGCUAGUGUUGAAAUCUGCACAGCAACAAGCGCCAUGAUUGCGUUUUCCGAGUGCCCUGGUAACUGGCGCGCGCGGUUUCUAUCCAAUAAAAGAGCGCGUGAUGUGUUCGCAGUUAUGCGGUGGAACUGUUUUACCCAACAUCACUACUUUUCAUAGGAUUAUUGCAUUAUUGUAAAAAAUUUUUAUUUUGACUGACAUCACCUUCUUGUCCUUUGGGGUGACUAGUAAGCAGAUGUCGAGGUAAAUGGACCAUAAAAAGUGAUGGGUGGAUUUUUUCUGGAGAAGUACACAGUGCUCAAAAACUAUUUACAUACUCUUAACUCUCUGGUCACUUGUGGUAAUUCGGUACCUGUUCUGAGAAAACAUCACACUCACAACGUUCUUACACAACCUGCCUUCCUCCCUGAUUAAAUCAUCAUUACCAGGUAAGCGUGCCUAAACUGUCUCUAAAAAGUUCACCGUGUCCAACCCUUUAUUAUAACUUCAGAAAACCAGCAAAUAAUCUAAAAUUAUUUUCAUAUUCAAUAUAAGAUUUACAAGUACAUUCAAAUCAGUCAAGACAUGCAUUUUUAGAGUACCAGAUGAGUAAGGUGAACGACAAGGUUUCAUACGGCUGUAUCGUUGAAUGACUCUCAUGCGAGAGUGUAAGAAAUAAUUUACAUGACGUGUGCAAAGUGCAAAAUAACCGUGCUAAUAAUAACAGAAUAAUUUCAUGCAUGACUAACUUUCAAUAUUUAUCAUGUUCUAUUUCUGAUGUUGGUUGCUUUUGUAAACCCCCAGGUUUCUGUUCCAUUCAGUAAACGCACAUGUGCUUUUGUACCAGGUGAUCCAAUACUGACAAUAAACUUUUGGUGUAACACAAGCAAGAGGACAGGGAAGCAUCUGCUGUCUAUAAGGGUAAAAUUACAGGUUAUGAAAA